UUCCGUAGGUGAACCUGCGGAAGGAUCAUUAACACUAACAUCCAAACCUACUCAACCAAGCCUAAAUGCUUGCUCCGGCGAGCGCACAAAUCUAACCUGAGAAGCGUAAGCAAGCCAAAACCAAAACAAAUCCUCAACGAUGGAUGUCUAGGUUCCUACAACGAUGAAGAACGCAGCGAAGUGCGAUAAGCAAUGCGAAUUGCAGAUCCGUGAGUCAUCAGAUUUUUGAACGCAACUGGCACCGCGGGGAGUCCCCUGCGGUAUGCUUCUUUCAGUAUGUGAUUCUCUCAUGCCCUAAAUCAUAAUGCGACAGAUGCCCUUCUGUUGCUAAGCAUGAAAGCACACUUCUUCUGCAGCGACCAGCCUGCUGGACGCACUCAAUGCAGCAGUCACAUUCUACAAUGUGAACUCAUUGAGAGCAGGAAAAGCGACGCGGCUUCCGCGCCAAGUGCUUGGACAACUUAAUUUUUAUCAUCUGAAAUGAAGUAGGACCACCCGCUGAACUUAAGCAUAUCAAUAAGCGGAG
This 526-nucleotide ribosomal RNA is filed under the name uncultured eukaryote. RNAcentral describes it as "eukaryotic LSU rRNA". The stretch from base 129 to 280 matches the Rfam family "5.8S ribosomal RNA". The record is from RNAcentral.